Lathyrus oleraceus (garden pea) is the source of this 1995-nucleotide long non-coding RNA. RefSeq lists it as uncharacterized. The transcript is spliced from 3 exons. The record is from RefSeq and is a predicted model, not a curated record. Lineage: Eukaryota; Viridiplantae; Streptophyta; Magnoliopsida; Fabales; Fabaceae.
ACUAACGCCCUCUCUGUUCCUUCUAUUCAAACGUAACAUAGUCGGAACACCUCGCCUCCGUCGCACCGGAGCUCAUCGGCGGCAGUGGAGGAGCUCCUACCUCCACCAAAACGAAACCAAUCAAAAUAAAACUUCGAUCUAAACCUAAAUACGAAAUUAAAUCUCCCUAAUUCUCAACGAACCAUCCGAAUUGAAUGAGAGUUUCCAUGAAUCUCAUGAUUUGAUGGUUAAAUUAAAUGGUGAAAUCGUGAUAAUUCAUCUAAUUAGUUUAGGGAUAAUGAUCCUCCGGUGGAACCCUACGCUCCGGUAACGAGCUUAAAGUGAAACGAGGGAAGAAGUAAAUACCUCCGAUGUGAGCUUCGACAGGGAUGGGCAGUGGAAGAAGAACGUGGCUACUCCAAUUCAGGUGGUAAGUUCCAUCUUCUGCUUUGAGCUUAUUCUUCUAUUUUCCUAUUCUUUUUUCUCUGCUUCUGAUCUUCUCCUCUACUUCUGUGGAAUUCUGGCUGAGUCCAAGCGUGAACAUGAUGCUGAGAAUUGAGAGUUGAGAGUUUGAGUGGUGCUUCUUAGCUCUGCCGUUUAGAGCUUCAAAUGUUGAAGCUCUCACAAUAAUGGAAUGAGCGUAUCCUGAGUGGUCAGAGAAUGAUUAGGAGUUGCAAGAUUUUUCUGGAAAUUCAACUAUCGAAUCCAAUGAUGAACGAGUCAAAGGCUUUUUAUAGGACUUGAUUAGGGGUAGAUUAGGAAGGAAUUAGAGAAUGAAAGUUAGUUAGAUCGAAUGAGCUGGAAAAAAUGAAUUUCUGAAAUGUAAGUUUCAAUGUGGAAAUAGAUCACGUGGAAUUUGGCAUAUAUUUUACUCUCUAAUCCAUUUGCUUCAAAUCUCCAUUCAACUGUGGAUAUCUAAACUGGAUUGCCUUGGAUUGGUUUAGCUGUCUUGUUUAGAUUCUGCAAGUUCUCCACUCUUGUGCUUACUCUUGCAAUUUGUAUCCAAUUCAGAUGCCACUGACUUAAGGGCUUUGCAAGGUUUUUUAUUCACUGUGUUAUGUUAUUCUGUGACUCUAUUAUUAUGUCAUUAUGGUAUGCACUGUCAUUUUGAAUUGCAAGUCCUACAUUGGCAUGUUUUACACUAUAACACUGCCCUUAUUUAUUCAUAGUUUGUCUCCCUGUUGUCUUCUUUGGAACUGUCUUGGCAUGGUAGGGUUUGUGGCAUAUGUGUCUUUUGGCUCAUGCCCAUCUGCUAGUUUCUGGCAGUAGGGAACCAGCUCUUGGAAGUAGGUUUAAUAAUCAACAUUACAGUGUAGCGCUACAAUGCCUUGGCUUGGUGAUGGGAAUAUUGGAUUUUCCAUAAUGGUUUGCAUAGCUUCCUGUUAUAAAUGAUUAUAUUAUUUCAUUGCACUCCUGAAUUGCUAUUUCAUGUGUGCUUUUCUUCAUGGUCUGGCUGGUUUGCUGGAAGUUUGUGCAGGUUGUGUAAUUGAUCUUGGUCAAGUGGUGAUAGUGACAAGACUGCAGGCAAAGUCAGUUCAUGGCUUGCUACAACAAGGUGCUCAUAAUGAUGGUUAGGGGGUGAAGGGUUGGCUUGCAGCAGUUUGCUCAUUUUAGGAUUUGAUCCAAAUGCUUGGCAUACUGAAUUCUGCUGCUACAUCAUGGUCAUGGUUGGAUGGGUGAACAAACAUGGUUAAGCAAAGGCUUGGAGUAUGGCAUUAAAAUGGGAUCUAGAAGCUACAUGUACAAAAGCCAAACCAAAGAUCAAAAUAGGAUUCGAAACUUAGGAUUAUAAUCAGAGAUUAGGGAUUUAGGGUUUUUUGGGAUGAGGUUGACUUUGGUAAAAGUUGACCAAAAAGUCAAUUGUUGACCAAAAAGUCAACCGUUGACCAAAGUCAACCUUGGUCAACACUUCAAAUUUUGUGUAUAUUUUGUUCUUCUCUUUUCUUUUUUUUGUGUAAUGAACAUUUUAUCCUUUGUAAUGGAAAUUGAUAUUCAUGAAUGAAGUAAGUUUGGAUA